RNAcentral lists this ribosomal RNA (503 nucleotides) under uncultured bacterium. Its description in RNAcentral is "partial 16S ribosomal RNA". It matches the Rfam family "Bacterial small subunit ribosomal RNA", at positions 30 to 523 of the family's 1533-position model. The record is from RNAcentral.
AUUGAACGCUGGCGGCAGGCUUAACACAUGCAAGUCGAGCGGGGUGAUGGUGCUUGCACUAUCACUUAGCGGCGGACGGGUGAGUAAUGCUUAGGAAUCUGCCUAUUAGUGGGGGACAACAUCUCGAAAGGGAUGCUAAUACCGCAUACGUCCUACGGGAGAAAGCAGGGGAUCACUUGUGACCUUGCGCUAAUAGAUGAGCCUAAGUCGGAUUAGCUAGUUGGUGGGGUAAAGGCCUACCAAGGCGACGAUCUGUAGCGGGUCAGAGAGGAUGAUCCGCCACAAUGGGACUGCGAAACGGCCCGGACUGCUACGGGAGGCAGUAGUGGGGAAUAUUGGACAAUGGGAGGAACCCUGAUCCAGCCAUGCCGCGUGUGUGAAGAAGGCCUUAUGGUUGUAAAGCACUUUAAGCGAGGAGGAGGCUCUUUUGGUUAAUACCCAAGAUGAGUGGACGUUACUCGCAGAAUAAGCACCGGCUAACUCUGUGCCAGCCGCCGCCGUAG